RNAcentral lists this ribosomal RNA (253 nucleotides) under uncultured bacterium. Its description in RNAcentral is "partial 16S ribosomal RNA". It matches the Rfam family "Bacterial small subunit ribosomal RNA", at positions 524 to 776 of the family's 1533-position model. The record is from RNAcentral.
UACGGAGGGCGCAAGCGUUUUUCGGAAUCACUGGGCGUAAAGCGCGUGUAGGCGGCCGGGCAAGUCGGAUGUGAAAUCCCGAGGCUCAACCUCGGAACUGCACUGGAAACUGCUCGGCUCGAGUGUCGGAGAGGAUGGCGGAAUUCCCGGUGUAGGGGUGAAAUCCGUAGAGAUUGGGAGGAACACCAGCGGCGAAGGCGGCCAUCUGGACGUUCACUGACGCUGAGACGCGAAAGCUUGGGGAGCAAACGGG